AAGAGUCUAAGCUUGGUCAGGUAUAUCAUUUGAAAUUUAACAUGAAGAUCUUAAGUUGGGAAAACAAAAGACUGAUAUGAGUAAUUGCUACAGCGGAAGUCUAACAUAUGAAUUUUAACUCUAGCCUCAGCUCCGUCCCGUCAGCACCAGCCAGCCAACCUGAAAACAUUUGAAAGUAUUUUUGGGCUAAGUACUAAUGUACUUAGUGGGCAUGCAUUUUCAUAAACAUUUCAUAUUUUCGUAAGAGCAGUUUAUCCAAUUAUACUUGACAUGACUUAGAAGGUUUUAAAAUGAAAUAAGUACUUCUAAGCAUGUUAAAACAUUUUUCAUUUGUGCGCACAUGUCACACUCCCUUUCCGUUACUCGCUGUGAUCCCGGACCUUUUAGCCACCGACGGAUCCAUUACUCCCGCUUUACUUGAACUGAGGGCGUAACCCAGUCAAGUUCCCAUUUGGGACCCAAUGCUCCGGAACACAUCCCGUCGAGCACCCUUAUAACGCCUCAUACAUGAUUAGUGCCCGAUGGAGAUCAACCCACCGAGUCAGCUAAUAGGUGUACACAAUUCUCAAAUAACGUGUUAGGUCAAGAGAGAACCUCGAUCGAUUCAUUGUUGCGAGCCUUAAACAGAGCAGAGUGCACAAAAUAUUUUAUUGGAUAAACAGUUUUCAUUACAUUAAAUAAACAAUUUGCAUUUCAUUGAAACAUUUAGAGCUUAAUAACUCAAUCAUACUUUGUACAUUUGGAAAGUAAGCCCACCUGGUUAGGCAAAGCCUGAAGAUCAUAAUCACUUAUAAACCUGUCUUGGGAAAGCAACGCUAAUCCC
This 823-nucleotide long non-coding RNA is filed under the name Salvia miltiorrhiza (redroot sage). RNAcentral describes it as "long non-coding RNA (SMIL_LNC005743)". Lineage: Eukaryota; Viridiplantae; Streptophyta; Magnoliopsida; Lamiales; Lamiaceae. The record is from RNAcentral.